CGUAUCGAAGCCACGAAAGCCU
Molecule: non-coding RNA, 22 nt
Filed under: Arabidopsis thaliana (thale cress)
Lineage: Eukaryota; Viridiplantae; Streptophyta; Magnoliopsida; Brassicales; Brassicaceae
Source: RNAcentral